UUUACAUUAUACUUGUUAUUCUAUGAGAAUCAACUUACCUUUUGAUAUUCAACAUGUAUCUUCAGACCCUGAAAAACUCCGAGGAGUCACUGAAAGAACAGUUGGAGAAAGCAAAGAAAAAGGAAGCUGCAUUCAUAGUUACAUUUGCAAAACGGGAUCUUAGAGCUCAACUCAAGCCACCAUCAUUGCAGGCCAGAAGGUAUUGAGGUUGUACAUACGCUUGCAGCUUGCUGCCUUUGAGAUCUACUUCCAUGUCCG
Rosa rugosa (rugosa rose) is the source of this 258-nucleotide long non-coding RNA. RefSeq lists it as uncharacterized. The transcript is spliced from 3 exons. NCBI's taxonomy places the organism in Eukaryota, Viridiplantae, Streptophyta, Magnoliopsida, Rosales, Rosaceae. The record is from RefSeq and is a predicted model, not a curated record.